Molecule: ribosomal RNA, 252 nt
Filed under: uncultured Eubacteriales bacterium
Lineage: Bacteria; Bacillati; Bacillota; Clostridia; Eubacteriales
Description: uncultured Clostridiales bacterium partial 16S ribosomal RNA
Rfam family: Bacterial small subunit ribosomal RNA
Source: RNAcentral
UACGGAGGAUGCGAGCGUUAUCCGGAUUUAUUGGGUUUAAAGGGUGCGCAGGCGGAGGUGCAAGUCAGCGGUCAAAUUGCGGGGCUCAACCCCGUACUGCCGUUGAAACUGUGUGACUGGAGUGCAGGAGAGGUAAGCGGAAUUCCUGGUGUAGCGGUGAAAUGCGUAGAUAUCAGGAGGAACACCAGUGGCGAAGGCGGCUUACUGGACUGUAACUGACGUUGAGGCUCGAAAGCGUGGGGAGCAAACAGG